AUGAGGCGGUGGCAAGUUCGAUCUGGUUGGUGGGCGGCCGGCGGCGACAUGGUUGGAGUCGGUGGUCUUGGAGGUUCUUCUCCAAGUUCAGUGGCUUCCCACCAUUGUUUGCUCCGUCAUCAGCAGCCUCACCGUGCAUUUUGCUUCUCCUUGAAUGUUGGUCCCCCCCCCAGUGCCACAUUUGCCUUUGUGGAGCUCGGCGACGCGAGUUGGUGGUGCCCUGGUCAGGCUUGCCAGGCGGCAAUGGCGACGGUUGUAAAUCUUUGCUCUUGGGAGAGCGUUUGCAUCGUCCAACGGAUCGGCGCCUCGUGCCAGGCGAGGGGCUAG
This 327-nucleotide ribosomal RNA is filed under the name Triticum aestivum (bread wheat). Its description in RNAcentral is "partial small subunit ribosomal RNA". The record is from RNAcentral. Lineage: Eukaryota; Viridiplantae; Streptophyta; Magnoliopsida; Poales; Poaceae.